RNAcentral lists this ribosomal RNA (443 nucleotides) under uncultured prokaryote. RNAcentral's name for it is "bacterial SSU rRNA". It matches the Rfam family "Bacterial small subunit ribosomal RNA", at positions 355 to 796 of the family's 1533-position model. The record is from RNAcentral.
UAGGGAAUAUUGGUCAAUGGGCGAGAGCCUGAACCAGCCAUGCCGCGUGCAGGAUGACGGCCUUCUGGGUUGUAAACUGCUUUUAUAUGGGAAGAAAAAGGCCUUGCGAGGCAAAUUGCCGGUACCAUAUGAAUAAGCACCGGCUAACUCCGUGCCAGCAGCCGCGGUAAUACGGAGGAUGCAAGCGUUAUCCGGAAUUAUUGGGCGUAAAGCGUCCGCAGGUGGCUCUUCAAGUCUGCUGUCAAAGACCAGAGCUCAACUCUGGGCAGGCGGUGGAAACUGGGGAGCUAGAGUACGGUAGGGGUAGAGGGAAUUUCCAGUGUAGCGGUGAAAUGCGUAGAGAUUGGAAAGAACACCAGUGGCGAAGGCGCUCUACUGGACCGUAACUGACACUCAGGGGCGAAAGCUAGGGGAGCGAAAGGGAUUAGAUACCCCCGUAGUCC